This 465-nucleotide ribosomal RNA is filed under the name Vreelandella stevensii. RNAcentral's name for it is "partial 16S ribosomal RNA". It matches the Rfam family "Bacterial small subunit ribosomal RNA", at positions 338 to 795 of the family's 1533-position model. Lineage: Bacteria; Pseudomonadati; Pseudomonadota; Gammaproteobacteria; Oceanospirillales; Halomonadaceae. The record is from RNAcentral.
CCUACGGGUGGCAGCAGUGGGGAAUAUUGGACAAUGGGCGAAAGCCUGAUCCAGCCAUGCCGCGUGUGUGAAGAAGGCCUUCGGGUUGUAAAGCACUUUCAGUGGGGAAGAAAGCCUUGGGGCUAAUACCCUCGAGGAAGGACAUCACCCACAGAAGAAGCACCGGCUAACUCCGUGCCAGCAGCCGCGGUAAUACGGAGGGUGCGAGCGUUAAUCGGAAUUACUGGGCGUAAAGCGCGCGUAGGCGGUCUGAUAAGCCGGUUGUGAAAGCCCCGGGCUCAACCUGGGAACGGCAUCCGGAACUGUCAGGCUAGAGUGCAGGAGAGGAAGGUAGAAUUCCCGGUGUAGCGGUGAAAUGCGUAGAGAUCGGGAGGAAUACCAGUGGCGAAGGCGGCCUUCUGGACUGACACUGACGCUGAGGUGCGAAAGCGUGUGUAGCAAACAGGAUUAGAUACCCUAGUAGUC